UAUCGAGUUUUGAACGGGUUGUAGCUGGCCUCAUACUGUGGCAUGUGCACGCCUGUCUUCAUCCACUCUUCAACCUCUGUGCACUUAUUGUAGGCUGGUGAAGGGUCGCAUAGUAAUGUGCGGCUUGAAGCCUGGUCUACGUUUUACUACAAACGCUUCAGUUAUAGAAUGUCUAUCUGCGUAUAACGCAUUUAAUAUACAACUUUCAGCAACGGAUCUCUUGGCUCUCGCAUCGAUGAAGAACGCAGCGAAAUGCGAUAAGUAAUGUGAAUUGCAGAAUUCAGUGAAUCAUCGAAUCUUUGAACGCACCUUGCGCUCCCUGGUAUUCCGGGGAGCAUGCCUGUUUGAGUGUCAUGGAAUUCUCAACUUCUAAUACUUUUUUGUAUCAGAAGCUUGGAUUUGGAGGCUCGUGCUGGCUCUCUCGUUAGAGUCGGCUCCUCUUAAAUGAAUUAGCGUGAAUCACUAUGGAUCGCUUCGGUGUGAUAAUUAUCUGCGCCGUAGUCGUGAAGUAUCAAUAAAAGUUCUCGCUUCUAAUCGUCCUUCACGGGACAAUUAACCCUGACUUUUUGACCUCAAAUCAGGUAGGACUACCCGCUGAACUUAAGCAUAUCAAUAAGCC
This 619-nucleotide ribosomal RNA is filed under the name uncultured fungus. RNAcentral's name for it is "eukaryotic LSU rRNA". The stretch from base 201 to 354 matches the Rfam family "5.8S ribosomal RNA". Lineage: Eukaryota; Fungi. The record is from RNAcentral.